RNAcentral lists this ribosomal RNA (253 nucleotides) under uncultured bacterium. Its description in RNAcentral is "partial 16S ribosomal RNA". It matches the Rfam family "Bacterial small subunit ribosomal RNA", at positions 524 to 776 of the family's 1533-position model. The record is from RNAcentral.
UACGUAGGGUCCGAGCGUUGUCCGGAAUUAUUGGGCGUAAAGAGCUCGUAGGCGGUCUGUUGCGUCGGUUGUGAAAACCUGGGGCUCAACUUCAGGCCUGCAAUCGAUACGGGCAGACUAGAGUUCGGUAGGGGAGACUGGAAUUCCUGGUGUAGCGGUGAAAUGCGCAGAUAUCAGGAGGAACACCGGUGGCGAAGGCGGGUCUCUGGGCCGAUACUGACGCUGAGGAGCGAAAGCGUGGGGAGCGAACAGG